AGGGAAACGACGGGGAACCUCAAGUAUCCAUAUAUCUAAAUAUACUUGCUUAAACGUAGCUGAGCUGUGAAAAUAACGCCUGGAUGUUUUUGUUCAUGGAUGGUCGGGUCUUGUGACUGCACUAAGCGCGCUAUCCUGAGUGUGCACCCCCCCCCCCUUCCGGCAGGGGGUCAUGUCCUGGAAAUCUGGCCUUCAAGUUUCAUAUCAAGUUAUGUGGGUAAUUAUGUGUGAUGGAUGUCACUGAACCUGCAUCUCAUGUGGGAAUUUGAAGGAAACGGCCUUGCUCUUUCCUGACUUCAAGAUGCACACUGGGUUCAAACUGACAUAAGGAACAGAAAAAAAAUGAUCUUCAGAUACUUAAAUGUCACAUUUGCAUGAGGACAUUUCAAACUGCUUUACUUUUGAAGUAACUUUUUAACUUUACAUACGAUCAUGACAAUGGAAUGCUGCAUUGUCGACAUUGCAAAGCUUAAUCUCGGCACAGAUAUAAGCUACACUGAUCGCUGUCCUAAUAUGGCCUUUAACCAAAUACCUAAGACAUAUGAUUAUUGGAAUGCUGUAGUCUACUUACCACCAUGGGAUGUUUUAAAGCCUCUGCUCAUAUGAACUCUAACAGUUACGGACAAGCAAUAAAGAUGUUGUACUUGGCGACAUCAAGCGGUGUGUUUUCAAACUACAAAUAAUAUCGCUUUACCCCCUACACAUCCACAGUAGAUUAUUAGUGCAUUAAAAAAUAUAUAUAUAUUACGUCAAUAAAUAUGAUUUUGAAUUAUGCUCUGUAAACCUAUAUCUAGCCUAUACAAAAUGCCUAAUUUAAUUCUAGGAAUUUUCGCAUACUUCUUGUUAAGAUGUCAAAAUGUCACGUUCAUAGGGGCUGAAAAACUCACAAUAAACUAAUAAUAAAGUUAGUUUGCAACUAACAACUAUAUUGGUAAUUUGGUCGCACCACUUGAAGGCAUAACUUAACCAGUAGCUAAACUCUCCGCGAGGUUAUGUUUAGUCGCAUAAUAUGACGUUUACCAGUAGGCUAAUUCUUGAGACAUGGGACAAAACACGUCCAGCAAUUGUAACUGCUAUCAGGUUUAAAAAAUAAAAAUAUUUGCAAUUGUAAAUGUUGUGGGGAUUAAUAAUAGAAUGUAUUUAUCACAAUUGUGAAAUUAAAAUUUCAAUUUAAUUUUAGCAUUAUAAUAGUGAAAUCGUUAUUGUCUUCUCACUAGGCUACAUCUAAAACAGUGUGUCCACAGAGGAGGGUUCAAUCAUUCAUAUGCCAAUUUUUAUUUUUUUUUUAAUGAUGAAAAGACCUUGCUUUAUCAAAAGCAACACUUAAUAAUAUCUCAUAUCAAAGCAAGGUUGUUUUUCAGUGACACAUGCAUGUUUCAUAAGGUUUCAAAUUUGUGUCCUCACUUCUUGUCAACACCAUCAGACAUUCAUUAAAA
This is a long non-coding RNA of Onychostoma macrolepis, 1436 nucleotides long. RefSeq lists it as uncharacterized. The record is from RefSeq and is a predicted model, not a curated record. NCBI's taxonomy places the organism in Eukaryota, Metazoa, Chordata, Actinopteri, Cypriniformes, Cyprinidae. The transcript has 3 exons.